GCCUGAUUGGCUUUUUUGGAAAAGCAUGUGACUCCCGAUCUCAAGGUCGUGAGUUCAAACCCCACAAUGGGUG
RNAcentral lists this transfer RNA (73 nucleotides) under Felis catus (domestic cat). It matches the Rfam family "tRNA". From Rfam's summary of the family: Transfer RNA (tRNA) molecules are approximately 80 nucleotides in length. Their secondary structure includes four short double-helical elements and three loops (D, anti-codon, and T loops). The record is from Rfam by way of RNAcentral. Lineage: Eukaryota; Metazoa; Chordata; Mammalia; Carnivora; Felidae.